Sitophilus oryzae (rice weevil) is the source of this 603-nucleotide long non-coding RNA. RefSeq lists it as uncharacterized. The record is from RefSeq and is a predicted model, not a curated record. NCBI's taxonomy places the organism in Eukaryota, Metazoa, Arthropoda, Insecta, Coleoptera, Curculionidae. The transcript has 4 exons.
UUACUUUUUAUAUUAAGAAAUUAAUGUGAAAUUAAUGUUUUUCGUUAGCUUAGUAGAAUUUAAACUGAACGAUGAUAUUUGCGGAAUACGGAUUCAUAGAAAUAUAUAAUAAUAAUUUAACUUAAGUUAUAUGAAACAGCUAAUCUAAUUUUUACUUGGAUUUUGAUGGAAAAAAUUGAGAAUGAAGCUCUCCAUCAAAGGAUACAGGUGCUGAACUUACAGUCGAAGGGAUGGCAAGAGCUCUGGCAAGAGAUUCCAAGGCUUAUUCCAGGUUCUGAGGAACAUACUAAAUAUGAAACAUUGGUACCUAUGCCUGGAAGUGUAGCUGAUUAGUUCAAGAUGUUUUAUUAUCAACAAUUCAUCUGGAUGGGAUUGGUAUACGGUGCCCUAUAAGUUGGUGCUUGGUGCCUUAAGUUGGUGGCUAGAAAUCAGUAUCGAGUUACAGCAGUGAAGUUUUAAAGGAAUCCUUGAUUAAUGCAACUAGGAGCUUCUAUCUACAUCUGACUGAUCCAGGUCCACUACGUGCAUGUUUUAUAUAUACCUUGUAUAUUGUAUUUAUUUUAUAUUUGUACAUUGUAUAGUAUAAAUAAAUUUCGAAUUAGU